RNAcentral lists this ribosomal RNA (497 nucleotides) under uncultured bacterium. RNAcentral's name for it is "partial 16S ribosomal RNA". It matches the Rfam family "Bacterial small subunit ribosomal RNA", at positions 28 to 507 of the family's 1533-position model. The record is from RNAcentral.
GACGAACGCUGGCGGCGUGCCUAAUACAUGCAAGUUGAGCGCUGAAGGUUGGUACUUGUACCAACUGGAUGAGCAGCGAACGGGUGAGUAACGCGUGGGGAAUCUGCCUUUGAGCGGGGGACAACAUUUGGAAACGAAUGCUAAUACCGCAUAAAAACUUUAAACACAAGUUUUAAGUUUGAAAGAUGCAAUUGCAUCACUCAAAGAUGAUCCCGCGUUGUAUUAGCUAGUUGGUGAGGUAGAGGCUCACCAAGGCGAUGAUACAUAGCCGACCUGAGAGGGUGAUCGGCCACAUUGGGACUGAGACACGGCCCAAACUCCUACGGGAGGCAGCAGUAGGGAAUCUUCGGCAAUGGACGAAAGUCUGACCGAGCAACGCCGCGUGAGUGAAGAAGGGUUUCGGAUCGUAAAACUCUGUUGGUAGAGAAGAACGUUGGUGAGAGUGGAAAGCUCAUCAAGUGACGGUAACUACCCAGAAAGGGACGGCUAACUACGUG